CCAAUAGCGUAUAUUAAAGUUGUUGCAGUUAAAAAGCUCGUAGUUGAACUUCGGGGUCUACCCAUUGGUCAGGCUUAAUUGUCUGUACUGGUGAGAUGGAUCUCUACCUUCUGAGGAACUUUCAUGCCAUUUAUUUGGUGUGAUGGGAAAUCAGGACUGUUACUUUGAAAAAAUUAGAGUGUUUAAAGCAGACUAUCGUCUGAAUACAUUAGCAUGGAAUAAUGAAAUAGGACGGACUGAUUCUAUUUCGUUGGUUUUUAGGAUCACCGUAAUGAUUAAUAGGGAUAGUUGGGGGCAGUAGUAGUCAAUUGUCAGAGGUGAAAUUCUUGGAUUUAUUGAAGACUAACUACUGCGAAAGCAUUUGCCAAGGAUGUUUUCAUUAAUCAAGAAAGAAAGUUAGGGGAUCGAAGACGAUCAGAUACCGUCGUAGUCUUAACCAUAAACUAUGCCGACUAGGGAUCGGACGAAGUUAAUUUUAUAAUGACGCGUUCGGCACCUUACG
Molecule: ribosomal RNA, 502 nt
Filed under: uncultured Glomeromycotina
Lineage: Eukaryota; Fungi; Glomeromycota
Description: partial small subunit ribosomal RNA
Rfam family: Eukaryotic small subunit ribosomal RNA
Source: RNAcentral